Molecule: ribosomal RNA, 391 nt
Filed under: uncultured bacterium
Lineage: Bacteria
Description: bacterial SSU rRNA
Rfam family: Bacterial small subunit ribosomal RNA
Source: RNAcentral
GACGAACGCUGGCGGCGUGCUUAACACAUGCAAGUCGAGCGGUAAGGCCCUUUCGGGGGUACACGAGCGGCGAACGGGUGAGUAACACGUGGGUGACCUGCCCUCAGCUCUGGGAUAAGCCUGGGAAACCGGGUCUAAUACUGGAUAUGACUCCAUGACGCAUGUUGUGGGGUGGAAAGCCUUGUGCGGCUGAGGAUGGGCCCGCGGCCUAUCAGCUUGUUGGUGGGGNGAUGGCCUACCAAGGCGACGACGGGUAGCCGGCCUGAGAGGGCGACCGGCCACACUGGGACUGAGACACGGCCCAGACUCCUACGGGAGGCAGCAGUGGGGAAUCUUGCGCAAUGGGCGAAAGCCUGACGCAGCGACGCCGCGUGAGGGAUGACGGCCUGGU